AAGUAGCUAGAGACGCUUAGAGCUUCUCGAUGGCUACCUUCAUCAGCUUGGGCACACUGUCACUAUCGUCUUCUCGUUUCUUCAGUCUCGGAGCUCCGACUCGUUACCAUGGUUAUCCAAACCGACCCGUAUUGCCGCCUCUCAAAUGUUCCUCUUCUUCUUCGGAUUCAGAUACCGCCAUGCCUCCCAACGGUUGGGCUCACAAGCUGACUGCAGGGCUCGCCGGAAUCGGUUUCCUCGAAACCUCGUACCUCACUUACCUUAAGCUCACCGAAUCCGAAGCCUUUUGCCCCGUCGGCGGCGCCACCUGCUCCGACAUACUCAACAGUGAUUACGCCAUCGUUUUCGGUUUUCCUCUUCCUAUGAUUGGGAUGGCUGCGUAUGGCUUGGUUGCUUCUCUUAGUCUCCAAUUGGCUACAAAUAAUUUAGCUUUUGGGAUUAACAAAUCGAAUGCUCAACUUGUAUUGCUUGGAAUCACAACCUCCAUGGCAGCUGCUAGUGCGUAUUUUUUGUACAUUUUAACCACGAGAUUCUCUGGGUCAUCUUGCUCCUAUUGCCUACUUUCGGUUCUAUUGUCCUUCACCUUAUUCUUUGUCACAGUGAAGGACCUUGGAUUGCAAGAGACGUAUAAACAAGUGGGCCUGCAAUUGUUUAUUGCUAGCUUAGUGAUUCUCACUCUCAACACCUCCUAUAGCAAUUCUAAAUCUGCUUCCUCAAGCAGCCUGGCUGAAGUUGAACUGCCAUAUUAUGCGACUGAGAUUACAACUCCGUCAAGCCCGUUUGCAAUAUCUCUAGCAAGGUAUUUGCAAUCCAUAGGUGCUAAAAUGUAUGGAGCUUUCUGGUGUUCGCACUGUCUAGAACAAAAAGAGAUGUUUGGACGAGAGGCAGCUAAGCAGUUGGAUUAUGUGGAAUGCUUUCCAGAAGGAUAUCGGACAGGAACUAAAAUGAUCAAGGCCUGCAUGGACGCCAAAAUUGAAGGUUUCCCCACCUGGAUUAUUAAUGGCCAGGUUCUGAGUGGUGAACAAGAACUAUCGGAGCUGUCUCAAGUGUCUGGUUAUAAUGAAUCUGUUCAACCUAGUUAAGGCUUAGGCUGAAUGUUACAAAGGUAGCAAUGUAGUAGCACAUUCACUGUAUAGCUUAUAGAUUGCAGGUCUAAGCCUGCUUACAAUCAUUUUUCAUCCCUGUGCUUGCAAAAUCGGGUUGCAAAGUCGGGGAGGCGUUGUGAAUCGGGUUUUGCUUAAUCACCCCUAUAAAGAGAGUCAUAAGUAUCUAAAAGACGUAUUACUCUGGUCUUCAAUAUUUGACAUAAUGUAAAAAGUAGUAUAUUAUUCUGUUGUUUAGAAGUGCCGAAAGUAGACGGCUAUUUUGUAAGCAAAUGUUUUUUAAAUUUUAAUAACAUAAAUCAUGGUUAUGUUUUUUUA
Molecule: RNA transcript, 1421 nt
Organism: Gastrolobium bilobum
Lineage: Eukaryota; Viridiplantae; Streptophyta; Magnoliopsida; Fabales; Fabaceae
Gene name: thiol-disulfide oxidoreductase LTO1
Exons: 7
Source: RefSeq, a predicted model, not a curated record